GGCGGUGUAGCUCAGCUGGCAGAGCAGAGGAAUCAUAAUCCUCGUGUCGGGGGUUCGACUCCCUCCGCCGCCA
This 73-nucleotide transfer RNA is filed under the name bacterium. RNAcentral's name for it is "tRNA-Met". It matches the Rfam family "tRNA". Rfam says of the family: Transfer RNA (tRNA) molecules are approximately 80 nucleotides in length. The record is from RNAcentral. RNAcentral also lists the same sequence under 3 other names.